This 56-nucleotide non-coding RNA is filed under the name Oreochromis niloticus (Nile tilapia). Lineage: Eukaryota; Metazoa; Chordata; Actinopteri; Cichliformes; Cichlidae. The record is from miRBase by way of RNAcentral.
GCAAAAGCCAGAAGCUGCUAGUGUUUCUUCUCCACUAGCAGCAUCUGGCUUUUGCU